UACGGGGGGGUGCGAGCGUUGUCCGGAAUCACUGGGCGUAAAGGGCGCGUAGGUGGUUUGAUAAGGGUGUGGUGAAAGUCCGGGGCUCAACCCCCGGAUCUGCCGUGCCGACUGUCAAACUCGAGGGCUGUAGAGGCAGACGGAAUUCCGGGUGUAGCGGUGGAAUGCUGUAGAGAUCCGGAGGAAGACCGGUGGCGAAGGCGGUCUGCUGGGCAGUUUCUGACACUGAUGCGCGACAGCGUGGGGAGCAAACAGG
RNAcentral lists this ribosomal RNA (256 nucleotides) under uncultured bacterium. RNAcentral's name for it is "partial 16S ribosomal RNA". It matches the Rfam family "Bacterial small subunit ribosomal RNA", at positions 524 to 776 of the family's 1533-position model. The record is from RNAcentral.